RNAcentral lists this ribosomal RNA (467 nucleotides) under uncultured microorganism. Its description in RNAcentral is "bacterial SSU rRNA". It matches the Rfam family "Bacterial small subunit ribosomal RNA", at positions 9 to 521 of the family's 1533-position model. The record is from RNAcentral.
GAGUUUGAUCUUGGCUCAGAGCGAACGCUGGCGGCAGGCUUAACACAUGCAAGUCGAGCGGGCGUAGCAAUACGUCAGCGGCAGACGGGUGAGUAACACGUGGGAACGUACCUUUUGGUUCGGAACAACUGAGGGAAACUUCAGCUAAUACCGGAUAAGCCCUAACGGGGAAAGAUUUAUCGCCGAAAGAUCGGCCCACGUCUGAUUAGCUAGUUGGUGAGGUAAUGGCUCACCAAGGCGACGAUCAGUAGCUGGUCUGAGAGGAUGAUCAGCCACACUGGGACUGAGACACGGCCCAGACUCCUACGGGAGGCAGCAGUGGGGAAUAUUGGACAAUGGGGCAACCCUGAUCCAGCCAUGCCGCGUGAGUGAUGAAGGCCCUAGGGUUGUAAAGCUCUUUUGUGCGGGAAGAUAAUGACGGUACCGCAAGAAUAAGCCCCGACUAACUUCGUGCCAGCCGCCGCAGU